GACGAACGCUGGCGGCGUGCUUAACACAUGCAAGUCGAACGGUGAACCCCUUCGGGGGGGAUCAGUGGCGAACGGGUGAGUAACACGUGGGUAACCUGCCUCUUGCUCUGGGAUAACUCCGGGAAACCGGGGCUAAUACCGGAUAUUCAUUUCUGACCGCAUGGUUGGUUGUGGAAAGUUUUUCGGCGAGAGAUGGGCCCGCGGCCUAUCAGCUUGUUGGUGGGGUGAUGGCCUACCAAGGCGACGACGGGUAGCCGGCCUGAGAGGGCGACCGGCCACACUGGGACUGAGACACGGCCCAGACUCCUACGGGAGGCAGCAGUGGGGAAUAUUGCGCAAUGGGCGAAAGCCUGACGCAGCGACGCCGCGUGAGGGAUGAAGGCCUUCGGGUUGUAAACCUCUUUCAGCAGGGACGAAGCGCAAGUGACGGUACCUGCAGAAGAAGCACCGGCCAACUACGUGCCAGCAGCCGCAGUAACAC
RNAcentral lists this ribosomal RNA (481 nucleotides) under uncultured bacterium. RNAcentral describes it as "bacterial SSU rRNA". It matches the Rfam family "Bacterial small subunit ribosomal RNA", at positions 28 to 526 of the family's 1533-position model. The record is from RNAcentral.